RNAcentral lists this ribosomal RNA (183 nucleotides) under Bacillus amyloliquefaciens. RNAcentral's name for it is "partial 16S ribosomal RNA". It matches the Rfam family "Bacterial small subunit ribosomal RNA", at positions 1354 to 1533 of the family's 1533-position model. Lineage: Bacteria; Bacillati; Bacillota; Bacilli; Caryophanales; Bacillaceae. The record is from RNAcentral.
AUGCCGCGGUGAAUACGUUCCCGGGCCUUGUACACACCGCCCGUCACACCACGAGAGUUUGUAACACCCGAAGUCGGUGAGGUAACCUUUUUGGAGCCAGCCGCCGAAGGUGGGACAGAUGAUUGGGGUGAAGUCGUAACAAGGUAGCCGUAUCGGAAGGUGCGGCUGGAUCACCUCCUUUCU